Molecule: transfer RNA, 63 nt
Filed under: Rectidens sumatrensis
Lineage: Eukaryota; Metazoa; Mollusca; Bivalvia; Unionida; Unionidae
Description: tRNA-Trp
Source: RNAcentral
AGAGAUUUAAGUUAUUCAAACUAAUAGCCUUCAAAGCUUUAAUCGGUCCCAAACCAAUCUCUG